AUUCAAAUAGCUUAUAGGCAUAGAGUAUGGCAUUGAAGAUGCUAAGGAGAACUUGGAUUCUUUGAAUA
RNAcentral lists this transfer RNA (68 nucleotides) under Oestrus ovis (sheep bot fly). RNAcentral describes it as "tRNA-Phe". The record is from RNAcentral. Lineage: Eukaryota; Metazoa; Arthropoda; Insecta; Diptera; Oestridae.